UCGGACUCCGGGCUUCCGGGGGCAGCCUGCAGCAGUCCCGGGCGCGGCACCUGCGGCGGGCGACUCUCCCGCUGGGGCGCAGGGCCCCGGCCACGGGGCAUCCCAGCCGAAGCCGGCGCGGGUGACGGGCCGGGUUGGGAGAGCUGCGCCUCGGCGUUUGGGGGAGACUCCGCGUCAUCAGGAUCUUGGGUUAUGUUCCUGAUUUUAUGCAGAUGCCACGGCUCCGUAUAUAAAGGACAUUCACUAAAAAGCCUUGCAGGUCACCUCACUGAAUGUGGUACUCAGAGUAUUGAUGGAAAAUUCAUAGAUUGGUAUUUGAUGCCAGACAGGUAUUGAACGUGGUGUAGAUUGAAGGAGCAAAAGAUCUCUUCUUCCUUUCGUAGUUGACCUGUGAACAACACUGGUUUGAACUGCACUGGUUCACUUAUACGUGGAUUUUUUUUGAUGAAUACAAUACUGUAAGUAGAUGUUCUAUUAUAAUUUUCUUAAUAAUAUUUUCUUUAUCUUGCUUUAUUGCAAGAAUAUAUUAUACAUAUAACAUACAAUAAAUGUUAAUUGA
RNAcentral lists this long non-coding RNA (559 nucleotides) under Zalophus californianus (California sea lion). RNAcentral describes it as "lncRNA (ENSZCAG00015010831.1)". Lineage: Eukaryota; Metazoa; Chordata; Mammalia; Carnivora; Otariidae. The record is from RNAcentral.